CUAUAGCCUCUUUUUCUUACAAGGACAAAAUUGAAAUUUGGAAAAAAGAAGAAGAAAGAAAAAUGGCAACUUGGCCCCUCCUCCUACCUUACUCCCUCUCUCUCGUCAUACACCAUGGCCACCACUUCACACACUCACCUGCAAUCAGCCUCUUUUACCAUCUAACACUCAUUUUGGGUCAUCAUUGCCUCGCUUCACCUCUUGCCGACGCCGAACAACAUCAAGAGUUGCUGCUUAGCGUGCUUCGAAGAGUGAGAAAACAUCUCUCACCGCUGCCAUUGCUAGUUUGACAUCUUGCCAGCCUCUUUUGGCCGACCAGACCCCAAAAAUGAGCUCCUCAUGUCGAAAAACCUUAGGACAGUGAAGCUCAGCCCCCGAUCUCCUUCGUUUCACUGUUGAUCAAGCUCCCCGGCGUUAAAACCUUAAAUGGCGAUAUAGGAUUUUUCGGCCACUUUUUGGUAAAAAUAAUUGUACAUCUGGAUUUCUGAGAUUGUGGGCUUUCCUUUGGUGUGCUCGGAUCGAAUUUUCAUCAUCGUUGAAAAUUUUCCGAUGACCGGGUCCGGUGACCUCGGGACACGUGCCGACGGGUGAAAUUUUAAUUUUUAUUUCUGAACGUUCAUUUUUCGGCUUGAUAUAGUAAAUUUUUAAUCCGAACUUAUUUAGUUAAUUAUUUAUAUUUAUAUUUCAGAUAGUUACUUAUUAAUUAGAAAUCGUUAUAUAUUUGAGAUUAAUUAGGGAUAAUUAGUGAUAAAUUGAUAAAUAGAGAUUAAAUUGAGUUUGAUUAAGAAUUAACUAUGAAAAUUUGAUUUAUUGAUUUAAUUAUUAUGGUUAGGAAAUUCUAUUAGCUGGUUUAUUAAUUUCGAAAGUAUUAAUUUAAUUAUUAUUAUUAUUAUUAUUAUUAUUAUUAUUAUUACAAAAUCGAAAAAUUGAUAAUACUAAUUUGAGAAUAAAAUAAUUUAAGAUAUUAAUUGAUCAUUAUGGUAUUAUGUUAAAGGGUCCUGAGUCAUAAUUGCAGAUAAAAUCUUGCUCACCAGUCAUAUGACUAACCCGUAAUUUCUCAGUAGUGUAGAAUUAGGUUGACUAUUUUAUAUAGAAUGGAUAUAAAUAUUUAUUAUUACUUGUGGAUUUUAAAUUCUCCAUCCCAUCAGCUAGCUACAUCGGAUGUGUGGGCAGCGCAUAGAAAGACGUCAUAUUUGUAAGUUAAAAUUAUAUAAGCACUGCAUAUGUGUCAUGCGUAAUUUAAAUGCAACGUUUUUAUUAAUAAUGUUUAUUAUUAUUAUCGAUAUUUAUUUAUUUAUUUUAUUUUAACCAUCAUAUUUAUCAUUGUUAUUAUUAUUGAUAAUAUUGCAUUUAACCUUUAUAUCCGCUAUACUCGAUGCUAUUUAAUUCUAAUAUUUAAUGAAUUAUUGAAUAAUAUUAAGAUUGCUUGUGAUUUAUGUCAUUUUUCACAUUAUUAAAAUUAUGAGACAGUAGGAGAACAUGCCACUUGAUGGGUUGCAUGAGGACCGCGUGCGCACCGGUAUAAAUCACAGACAGGUAAUAGAAAUAUAUUCUUGUGAUGCUCCUAGUCGAGCAUUGCUCUCUGGGUGCCGGCUAUAUUAGAAAUUAAGUGACCAGACUGGAUUUAAGGACCCUGGUCGAGCUUUGCUCUCUGGGCGCCAGUCUUAUUGGAAUAAAAGAGUCGAAUGGCUAAUAAGAUUGAAGUUUAGGGUUCUACUGAGGUACUCGUCCUAUAAACAUUUAAAUUGUAUUUUUCUGAAUCAUUACAUGACACACGUUUUAAUAUGAUAUAAUACUCUAUUCUGAUUAAAUAAAUAUUUUAUUGAGAUGGUUGUAUUUAUUUUUGGAUUAUAUUUUAACUCAUUAUGGAGACUGAUAGUUUCAAAUUUUAUUUUUUCAGGUGUCUGUUAGGUUUUCUGCAGUUCUUUUUUGGCACCCCGGCUUUCUUCAUAUUCGGGUUAAUGUUUUGGUGGUUAUAUGCUUACCCAUUCUCUAACGCUGGCCACGGGCCCACAGAUUGGAUCGUGACAGCUUAGCACAAUUGGAUCGACUAUGUAAUGUCAUCACUUGGAUUCUCUAGCUUUUCUUGGAUUGUGGGCAUUUUCUCAGCCCCGGUCAUGUGCAGGACCUAUAUACGUGAUAUUUAAGGCAAAAAUUGAUGCCAAACAUGGAUUUAAACCUUAAAAUUCAUAAUCUUUUAUCUUAAAAGAUGAAGUUAUACAGAAAAGUAGCAAAAAAAAGAAAAAUAUAGAAAGUGAAGUUAAAGUCAAAAGUCAAGGCUCUAUCUUGAAUCCCUCAUUUGUCAUCUAAGUCAGUAUCCAUUUCCUGAGUCUAUAGAAUAGAUAGUUGAAGCGUCAAAGUGUCAAUCCUGUGCUGCUAGGCCUCGAUCUGGCACUGGUGGUCAUCUAUCUGCCCUUGCAUGUCCUCGUGGCCCUUUUGAAAAAAACCCAAAGGAGUUAGCUUUUGCAUUUUAUAACAUACAUGCAUACAUUUUGUAUUAUAUAAUUUAUUUUUGGGUCGGUUCUUACUCGCUAGUCCUCACCAAGAACAAAGAACUGUCUCCUUGUAGCUCCGACCAGCUGACAUACAUGCUUGAACUGAUCCCUUUAGACCUGUAUGAUUACUUGUAUUACUAACAUUUUAGGGGAAAGAGAAGAUGCAAAGUACCAAAAGAAUAUAACUUACAUGAGUACUAGUACUUAGAGUGAACCUUGAAGGAAGGCAGCUAAAAUUAGCUCAUGGGUGUGAGAAUUUGAAGGAAAAUUACAGAACCAGCCUAAUCAAGCCCUAGAGCCAACUACCUCUGUGACCUGUGCAGGUUGGCUUUACAUAAUAUUUUUCCAGUUUCAGAUUUUUAUGCAAUUUCAAUCUAUUUGAUACAUUGUAAUUUAGUUUUAGGUAUUUUUCUUUCAAUUUCUUAAUUAUAAGAGGAGUUUAAUAGUUAGACUUAAUUUUCUGGAAUUUAAUUUCUAUAUUGUAUUCAUGGGUACCAAUUAUUUCGUCUUUGUGGACAUCCUACUCAACUGUACAGAGCCGAUCGGCUUAGCAUAGAGUUGAAUCGGUUCUGUGCAAAGUCGAUUCACUCUAUACAGUUCCAAUUGGUUGAUUUUCUGAA
Molecule: long non-coding RNA, 3115 nt
Organism: Ricinus communis (castor bean)
Lineage: Eukaryota; Viridiplantae; Streptophyta; Magnoliopsida; Malpighiales; Euphorbiaceae
Exons: 2
Source: RefSeq, a predicted model, not a curated record